UUGCUGAUGGAACGGAUCCGGCAGGGCCAU
This 30-nucleotide non-coding RNA is filed under the name Cricetulus griseus (Chinese hamster). Lineage: Eukaryota; Metazoa; Chordata; Mammalia; Rodentia; Cricetidae. The record is from RNAcentral.